UAGAACUGAACCUCAAGUUACAGAGUCGAUAUCUAUGAGAUUCUAAGUGACCCUGUACAGCGUAUGGUUUACGAUGAAAUUCAUGGUUAUGCUGUGACUGCCACCAAUCCUUUUCUUGAUGACUCUAGCCCAAGAGAUCAUGUUUUUGUUGAUGAGUUUGCUUGUAUAGGCUGCAAAAAUUGUGCCAAUGUGGCUCCAGAUAUAUUUGAAAUUGAGGAAGAUUUUGGAAGAGCAAGGGCCUGUAACCAGCAUGGCAACCCAGAGUUAAUUCAGCUAGCGUUGAGACAUGCCCGGUUGAUUGCAUCCAUCAGACUUCUGCUGCACAGUUGUCAUUGCUUGAAGAUGAGAUGCGAAGGGUUGAAAGAGUGAAUGUUGCUCUGAUGCUUUCUGGAAUGGGGUCAGGAGCAGUUGAUGUUUUCAGAAUGGCGAGAUCUCGAUGGGAAAAGAGGCAAGCAAAAGUUUUGAAUCAAGCUAGAAGUAGAAUGAUGAAGCG
Camelina sativa (false flax) is the source of this 493-nucleotide RNA transcript. It is a transcript of the gene named chaperone protein dnaJ C76, chloroplastic-like, with no coding region annotated. NCBI's taxonomy places the organism in Eukaryota, Viridiplantae, Streptophyta, Magnoliopsida, Brassicales, Brassicaceae. The record is from RefSeq and is a predicted model, not a curated record.